Sinocyclocheilus anshuiensis is the source of this 263-nucleotide long non-coding RNA. RefSeq lists it as uncharacterized. The record is from RefSeq and is a predicted model, not a curated record. The transcript has 5 exons. NCBI's taxonomy places the organism in Eukaryota, Metazoa, Chordata, Actinopteri, Cypriniformes, Cyprinidae.
AGGGAAAGCAAGGCGCUCCAGGGUUCAAGGGACGGCCUGGACCGCAAGGCAUGCAGGGUGAAGCUGGUGCUUGUGGGCCUCCUGGUGGCAAAGUAUUCCCUGGUUUACCUGGUCCAACUGGAAGGAAGGGUAUGAAAGGAGUUCAGGGAAUAUCAGGACAGAAAGGUGUGAAAGGUCGGAGAGGACUUCCUGGAAAACCAGGUAUUCCCGUCCAGCAGAUACCAGGGCAUCAUACUCCACCUCAUGCUCCAAGAAGAGGAUCA